RNAcentral lists this ribosomal RNA (497 nucleotides) under uncultured bacterium. RNAcentral's name for it is "partial 16S ribosomal RNA". It matches the Rfam family "Bacterial small subunit ribosomal RNA", at positions 28 to 507 of the family's 1533-position model. The record is from RNAcentral.
GAUGAACGCUGGCGGCGUGCCUAAUACAUGCAAGUCGAGCGAACAGAUAAGGAGCUUGCUCCUUUGACGUUAGCGGCGGACGGGUGAGUAACACGUGGAUAACCUACCUAUAAGACUGGGAUAACUUCGGGAAACCGGAGCUAAUACCGGAUAACAUAUUGAACCGCAUGGUUCAAUAGUGAAAGGCGGCUUUGCUGUCACUUAUAGAUGGAUCCGCGCCGUAUUAGCUAGUUGGUAAGGUAACGGCUUACCAAGGCAACGAUACGUAGCCGACCUGAGAGGGUGAUCGGCCACACUGGAACUGAGACACGGUCCAGACUCCUACGGGAGGCAGCAGUAGGGAAUCUUCCGCAAUGGGCGAAAGCCUGACGGAGCAACGCCGCGUGAGUGAUGAAGGUCUUCGGAUCGUAAAACUCUGUCAUCAGGGAAGAACAAAUGUGUAAGUAACUGUGCACAUCUUGACGGUACCUGAUCAGAAAGCCACGGCUAACUACGUG